Molecule: long non-coding RNA, 633 nt
Organism: Meriones unguiculatus (Mongolian gerbil)
Lineage: Eukaryota; Metazoa; Chordata; Mammalia; Rodentia; Muridae
Exons: 3
Source: RefSeq, a predicted model, not a curated record
CUUACCCUCUCACACAAUAAUGAUAAUAUGGGUGAGUCUAGAAGGCUCCUCAGGGAUAGCCUGAAUUCAGGGGUCCCCCACCCCACCCGAACCUAAGCUGCCCAGCCCACUAAAUCGUGUUAAUUCACAGACCCUGGUGGCUUCUGCUCAGGAGCCCCCCCCCAUCACCAUUACCUACACCUGAAGAAUUCAACUCCUUGACUGUCAGCUCAGCUUCACCCCUCUCUGGAGCCAAGGGCUGCAUCUGCAUGAGAGAACCCCCAGAAGGCAGCUGAGAAGGGAGCCCAGAAGCUGGAAGCUGAGGAAGAGAGCUGCGGAAUCACUGGUGCAAUCCUUCAGCCAUGAAGAAGUGUGUGGCCCUUCCCACUCCCUUCUUACCAGAGACAGCUCCAUGUCCAAAUCCAUCAAGGUCCAUUCCUGUCCUUGCAGGCUAGGGCCCAGCACCUGGGAAGAGCUCAACUGAGACCUGACAUCUUGGAAGAGGUCCCUUUCCUAUUUUGUCUCACCUUGCGGCGCACGCGCUCCAGUAGCUGCUCACGGCCCCGCACGAAGCUUGGAUGGUGGAACUCAACGUAAUCACGCUCUGGUCUGAGCAGGCCACCUUGCUCAAUGCUCACCACCUUCCGAAAGCCG